GGCUGGUCCGAAGGUAGUGAGUUAUCUCACGUGAUUGUUCACAGUCAGUUACAGAUUGAACUCCUUGUUCUACUACUUUCCCCCCUCCUCACUACUGCACUUGACUAAUCUUAA
RNAcentral lists this Y RNA (114 nucleotides) under Microcebus murinus (gray mouse lemur). Its description in RNAcentral is "Y RNA (ENSMICG00000044344.1)". It matches the Rfam family "Y RNA". Rfam says of the family: Y RNAs are components of the Ro ribonucleoprotein particle (Ro RNP), in association with Ro60 and La proteins. The record is from Rfam by way of RNAcentral. Lineage: Eukaryota; Metazoa; Chordata; Mammalia; Primates; Cheirogaleidae.